Long non-coding RNA from Onychomys torridus (southern grasshopper mouse), 252 nucleotides. RefSeq lists it as uncharacterized. Lineage: Eukaryota; Metazoa; Chordata; Mammalia; Rodentia; Cricetidae. The record is from RefSeq and is a predicted model, not a curated record. The transcript is spliced from 3 exons.
ACAGGAAAUCUGAGGGAGUGUGUACCAGAGCAAACACUGCGAGUGGGAAAUGUCAUGGUUGAGGAAAGGAAUCCUCAGUCAAAGAGUCUGGUGGGUCCUGAGGAUGUUAAGCUGAUCUGAGCUGGUGAGACAGAGAAGGAAAAGGUGACUGUAAUCAGCUGUGUGUUUACAUCAGGCUCCUGCAGAAGCAACAAAGCACCUGGAAGCUGUGUAAAAGAAGUCAGUUAAAGUCAGCAUCCACGGAAUGAAUCC